Molecule: transfer RNA, 73 nt
Filed under: Planctomycetota bacterium
Lineage: Bacteria; Pseudomonadati; Planctomycetota
Description: Planctomycetes bacterium (bioreactor metagenome) tRNA-Ile
Rfam family: tRNA
About the family: Transfer RNA (tRNA) molecules are approximately 80 nucleotides in length. Their secondary structure includes four short double-helical elements and three loops (D, anti-codon, and T loops).
Source: RNAcentral
GGCCCCGUAGCUCAGCGGUUAGAGCAACCGACUCAUAAUCGGCAGGUCGCUGGUUCGAACCCAGCCGGGGCUA